Macrosteles quadrilineatus (aster leafhopper) is the source of this 204-nucleotide long non-coding RNA. RefSeq lists it as uncharacterized. The transcript is spliced from 3 exons. The record is from RefSeq and is a predicted model, not a curated record. NCBI's taxonomy places the organism in Eukaryota, Metazoa, Arthropoda, Insecta, Hemiptera, Cicadellidae.
GCAGGCUAAUAAUACCAAUUAUCUGAAUGUACGCGUAAUUUUUUCUGUACUUGUUGGAGCUCUCUCACCGUCGUCGUUUUAUUCGAUCAUGGUUCUCUUCAAUUUUCUUCUACCGUUUCUCAUCUUCAAAUGGAAUUUCGGCAAAGGAGGAAGUAAUAAAGGAGAAGAUCGACAUCGGGCUUGCUUAUUUGGACCUAUCAAUAU